UCGAACGGAAUUUUGAAACUUCGGUCGAUUAAUUCUAGUGGCGGACGGGUGAGUAACGCGUGGGUACCUGCCUUAACAGGGGGAUAACAGUCAGAAAUGGCUGCUAAUACCGCAUAAGGCUGCAUGGCAAAAACUCCGGUGGUAUAAGAUGGACCCGCGUUGGAUUAGCUGGUUGGUGGGGUAACGGCCCACCAAGGCGACGAUCCAUAGCCGGCCUGAGAGGGUGAACGGCCACAUUGGGACUGAGACACGGCCCAGACUCCUACGGGAGGCAGCAGUGGGGAAUAUUGCACAAUGGGGGAAACCCUGAUGCAGCGACGCCGCGUGAAGGAAGAAGUAUCUCGGUAUGUAAACUUCUAUCAGCAGGGAAGAUAGUGACGGUACCUGACUAAGAAGCCCCGGCUAACUACGUGCCAGCAGCCGCGGUAAUACGUAGGGGGCAAGCGUUAUCCGGAUUUACUGGGUGUAAAGGGAGCGUAGACGGUGUGGCAAGUCUGAUGUGAAAGGCAUGGGCUCAACCUGUGGACUGCAUUGGAAACUGUCAUACUUGAGUGCCGGAGGGGUAAGCGGAAUUCCUAGUGUAGCGGUGAAAUGCGUAGAUAUUAGGAGGAACACCAGUGGCGAAGGCGGCUUACUGGACGGUAACUGACGUUGAGGCUCGAAAGCGUGAGGAGCAAACAGGAUUAGAUACCCUGGUAGUCCACGC
This 706-nucleotide ribosomal RNA is filed under the name uncultured bacterium. RNAcentral describes it as "bacterial SSU rRNA". It matches the Rfam family "Bacterial small subunit ribosomal RNA", at positions 62 to 800 of the family's 1533-position model. The record is from RNAcentral.